UAACAAUUUUUUUAUUUUAAAAAAAGAGUCAAAAAUUAAUCAUUUAAUAUAUAUAAACAUAUAAUUAUAUAUAUAUAAAAUUUUAAGCGAAGAAAUAUAUAACUCGUCGAAGUACAUUAACAUAUUUAUAUAAACAACACUUUAUCAUUAAAUACAACGUUAAAAAAGGAAUAGUUCAAAAUGGCAAAAUCAAAGAAUCACACAAAUCAUAACCAAAACAGGAAGGCUCAUAAGAAUGGUAUUAAGAAACCCAAAGUCCACAAAUUCAUGUCUCGUAAGGGGGUAUGUAUAAAAAAUUAAUUCGUUAUUGAUUCAUUUACUAAUUUUUAUAUCCUUUCAGAUAGUUUUAU
Long non-coding RNA from Piliocolobus tephrosceles (Ugandan red Colobus), 350 nucleotides. RefSeq lists it as uncharacterized. The record is from RefSeq and is a predicted model, not a curated record. Lineage: Eukaryota; Metazoa; Chordata; Mammalia; Primates; Cercopithecidae. The transcript is spliced from 2 exons.